UUGCACAAAAAAUUUCACUUUGAACAAAAUAUUUACAUUUCAAUGAAGUGAAAGGCUUAACGGCAACAACGAAAUUGUGUACACCAACUUAUUGAUAUGCCGCUGCCGUCUUUGAAAUGUUCAAAAAUCUGGCUUCAAGACGACAUUUGCCGACAAGAAAGUUUCGCUGUCGUGCAGUCGUCCUUGUGUUCAAAGCAGUCAUGGAAAAGUACGCACAAUUGUGCAUUUUUCCCCAUUCUAACUGUAGUCGGCACUUUAACACAAUCGACCACUUGGCACUAUUUGUUUGAUAGACACACUACGUGAACGGAGCAUACAAACACACAUUCCAUACUAUUUGUAAUUAACUUUCAUUGAUCGAAUUUUCACUCUAUAGAUUUCACAAUACCUAAAAUCUCUGCAAAGAAAACUCCAGAGACACCAGCUCGAGAAAAUGUGCCACCUGUUUAGAAAGCGGCUAAGUCAGCAGCUAAGCGUAAAAAAGAAUACAGAGUACGAAAAAAGGUUUGGAAAUCUGCUCUAAACCAACACCAGAUUGAAUGUAGCUCGUCAACCAACGACAGUGCAUAUCUUAUGAAUGACGAACCAUCGCAGCAAAAUGCAGUCGCAAAUGAAAAUAUUUCAAGGGGCAAUAGUCGUUUUCAGUUUUGUGAAUAUUUUAAUAGUCGAGAUAGUACUACAAAAUAACCAAAUGAUGAUACAAGUAAUUAUCGAUUAAUUAUUGUUCAAUCUGACAUCCAACACCAAUAGUUAUAUUUGCUUUCACAACAUCUCGUUGAAAAUAUAUUGUAGUACACGAACAAUGUACUGAUUAACAAAACAAAAAAACAAAUGAAAAUUGUAAAAACACCAGCUGCACAUAGAAGUUGAGAGUAUAGAGCACGACGGAAAUAUUUGCAGAACAUUUAUUGUAACAAUCAUAGCAAAGCAAGUGUUGCGAUAUAUUACAAUGAAUGCGAUACAUUAAACAUUGGCGCUCCACAUUUUCAUAUGAGUGCAAUAAAAUCCACUGCAUAUACAGUGAGUUUAAUUGAAAUUGACGAUAUCAGCUUGAGUAAAUGUAAAUUAUCAAAUGGAGAAGAAAUUGUCAUCGCAGCGAUCUACAUAUCUCCUAACCAAAAAAAACACUUGAGGGUACCAUGUAUUUCAUGAGUUCGUUGGUUAUGUACACUCAGAGGGGAUAUAUUUUAAAAUGACAAAGCACGAUCUUGUUCACAUUGGCCGCUUUUGAGGUGCACAUAUAAUGGAUGGUGGAUCCUGUUUAUGAUUUGAAAACACAAGAUACGCCAGGUAGCUUCAUUGAAGCUGAUAAACCGACCACUUCGGUAUUUCGUUAUUUCAUCCUUUUCACAUUCAUCCAUUUGGAGGGAUAUUCACAUUAGUAUUUUAAUUCUAAAUUCACUUAUUUUAUUAAUACACAUAUACCUUCAAAUAUAUUUGAUGUUCUUCAAAAAACUGCAGAAUGGAACAUUAAUAUAAGUGUUGAUUGUUUUGCUCAGCAGAGGUGAAUAUGGUACGGUUAAACGAUUGUCAAUGUUAAUGUCUGCGAUAUCGACAUUUUUAGCACUAAGAAAUAAUGUUAAAUUCAAUAUGAGAAAAAAAAUUAACUUGAGAGUUGCCGUAAAAAACUAAGAUAAUACGUAUAACAGUAACUGCUACAAUCGAGACACAAAUAAUAUCAUUUUGUUUGUUAAAAAAAAUGGACUAAAACUGUACAGAUAAUGUUUUCAUUUUUGCUUCGUAAUUUUUUCUGGUUCAUAAGUGACAAUGGGAGACACCUGGCGGGGAUAACUAAUUGAUUAAUAGAAA
Molecule: long non-coding RNA, 1809 nt
Organism: Bactrocera oleae (olive fruit fly)
Lineage: Eukaryota; Metazoa; Arthropoda; Insecta; Diptera; Tephritidae
Source: RefSeq, a predicted model, not a curated record